UACGAAGGGGGCUAGCGUUGCUCGGAAUCACUGGGCGUAAAGGGUGCGUAGGCGGGGUUUUAAGUCAGGGGUGAAAUCCUGGAGCUCAACUCCAGAACUGCCUUUGAUACUGGCAAUCUCGAGUCCGGGAGAGGUGAGUGGAACUGCGAGUGUAGAGGUGAAAUUCGUAGAUAUUCGCAAGAACACCAGUGGCGAAGGCGGCUCACUGGCCCGGUACUGACGCUGAGGUGCGAAAGCGUGGGGAGCGAACAGG
Molecule: ribosomal RNA, 253 nt
Filed under: uncultured bacterium
Lineage: Bacteria
Description: partial 16S ribosomal RNA
Rfam family: Bacterial small subunit ribosomal RNA
Source: RNAcentral